AUACCUUUCUCGGCCUUUUGGCUAAGAUCAAGUGUAGUAUCUGUUCUUAUCAGUUUAAUAUCUGAUAUGUGGGUCAUUGGCCCACACGAUAUUAAAUUACUUUUUUAAAGGGGAGGGGCCAUGACAAUAGCUUGCUAUUGGGUCUCUCAGGUAUCGCCCAUGUGUUGCACUACUACAUGGGCUGGUGCACCCUAU
Molecule: non-coding RNA, 195 nt
Organism: Lupinus angustifolius (narrow-leaved blue lupine)
Lineage: Eukaryota; Viridiplantae; Streptophyta; Magnoliopsida; Fabales; Fabaceae
Source: Rfam